This 2794-nucleotide long non-coding RNA is filed under the name Homo sapiens (human). RNAcentral describes it as "HSALNT0067757". Lineage: Eukaryota; Metazoa; Chordata; Mammalia; Primates; Hominidae. The record is from RNAcentral.
CCCGGCAGCCCCCGCCACCCCCGGGACGCCCCUCCGCUUCCUCCUCCCGGAGCGGGGGCCCCUGGCCGCGUCUCUCCGCCUUCCCUCCCUAUCCGCGCCCCUAUCCGGCGCGGGCCGCUGCGGAAACGCAGCUCUCCACCCCCAGCUGGCUCUCCCGGACCCCCUGGGCCCCACCCUCAGCGCUCCCCACCGCUCGGCGCCCCUGCGUCUGCGCUCCCCUCUCUCCCCUCUCUAUCCACUGGGUCUGGGCCGCACUUCCCGCCCACCCGCCUGCCAGCGGCCGGGAAGCCUGUGGAAGUUAUGGGGAUGCAGGGAGAGGGGGAGAGGGGAGCUUGUGUGCUAGGGUCUGCAAAGCUCGUCUGCAUCAGACAGGAAUUUUCCCCAGACGCGGGUGCACGUGAAUUAAUUCAUCAGAAGGCGGUUCACGGCCUGAGUGAGGGGGACGAGGGCGGCGAAUUCCUCCGCCUCAUUCCUACCCUGACGAUUCGAGUUCGUUUCUGCUGCGGCGGCAAGAGGCUGGGGAGCCGAUGACUCACCCUGCCGGCUAAUUGCAGCGUUAAAUAACUUUGCGCCGGAUUCGGUGGCUGCAGCAGGGAACGCGCUCCGGGCGCCGGGGGAGGUGGAGGGACGCCCUGAGAACGCACCUCCGUCCCUGUCACCAGCCUUAGCAAGUUCUGGCCUGUGGAGCCGUCAUCCAGAGCGCACAGCUUCAUGCCCUUGAAGGGCGCAGUGUGUCCCGUGGUGCCCGGUGGGCCCGGACAGAGACCCCAGAGGCUCUGUCUGAAGGAAGCUGCACCCACAGACUCCAUCCAGGCAGCGCGGGCGCGGUCCUGUCGCCUACCUUUCUCGGAAGCCAUCUGCCCAUGUGAAUCUAUGUGAAGGCCCUUCAUGCGCUCCUGGACAUCUGCGUGGGAUUUACUUCAACUGCUAUCGCUGCGAGGAGGACGAGCAUGUUUCACUGUAUUUUUAGCAGAGAGUGCAGAUUUUAGAACCUCGCGAACGGUCCUGUAUCUCCUGCACGAUGACUCUCCAGAACAGGAAUAGUGACCCUUCCUUUGCAUUUAUGGUGCAUAGGUUUUCAAAGGACAGUGUGUAAAUCAGCUUGUGUAAUAAUUGUGGCACCCACGCGCGCAAGCAGACUUACCAUGAGCUGACUUCCACUGAUUAUUUCAGUUUCCAGGGAAACGAGGUUUGCAGCCCCCUCCAGUGAGGGCGGAGCGGCCUCUCCAUUCCCAAUGCAGCAAGGCUGCUGCAGCCACGAUGAUUAGGCUUUGGAGGAGGAAGUGAACGGAUGGGGCCUCAUCCUCCUGCCUCCCUAAAGGGUGAGGGUGGAAGGAUGGGGCUGUGCCCUCUUAGGGCAGGGAAAAACAGCUUGGAGGGGUUUCUGCCAUCAGAGAUCCCAUAGGAGGCAGGUCAGUCCUGCAGAAUUUCUCCCCAGUCUGGCCUCCAGCCUCCCUGGCCCCUUUCUAGAGGCCUCCAUCCCACUGGCGGCUUGCUCCUGCCACCGGGCCUCUGCACAGUCACCUCCUGCAGCCUGGGGUGUGUCGCCUCUCCACGUCCUCACCGGCGUCUGCCUUUGCAUUUCCCAGAUGCUCGCUUCACCCCACUGAGAUGUAACUCAGUUUUGUGGGAUCCCACUGCCCUCCAGGUGCCGCUCCGAGUGCUCUACACAGAUUUUCAUUCAGUCCUUGCGGCACACGAAGAGUGGCUGUACCAUUUUGCAUUCCCAGACCGAAGUGUGAAAGCUCCAGAUGCCCCACGCCCUCACCAGCCCACGGUGUUGUCAGCCUUAAUAGUGCUGACCAUUCUGCCUGUUAAUAUGAUGAAUUACACUGAUUCAGUUUCAAAUGUCCAACCAAGCUUGCACUCCAGAGAUGAAGCCCACUUGAUCACAUGGAUUAUUCUUUUAAUAUAUGAUGGAUACGACUUGGCUGUUCUUUUGUUGAGGAUUUUUGUGUUUAUGUUAAUGAGGAUAUUAUUUGUAGUUUUCUUUUCUUGUAAUGUUUUUGUCUUUGUUCAGUGUCAGAGUAAUGCCAACUUCAUAAAGUGAGCUGGGAAGUACUCCCUCAUUUUCUGUUUUCUGUGAAAGAAUUGUAUAGAAUUGAUGUUAUUUCUUCCUUAAGUGUUGAGUAGAAUUCACUUGCAAAGCCAUCUGAGGUUGACAUCUUCUUUGGGAAUGACUUUAGCUAUAAAUUCAAUUUAUUUAACAGAUAUAGGGCUAUUAAGGUUAUUUAAUUUUUUUCUUGAAUGAGCUUUAGUGUCCUGUGUUUUUCAAGGAAUUUUUCCAUUUUAUUUAAGUUUUUAGAUUUGUUGGCAUAAAGUUAUCCCAAUAUUUCCUUAGAAGUUGUGACUUUUACUGCAUAUAAAACAUACCUCAAUAAAGCUAAUACAUACAUAUAUAUAUAUGAAUCAUUUCUGGCCAGGUACAGUGGCUCAUGCCUGUAAUCCCAGCACUUUGGGAGGCAGAGGCAGGUGGAUCACCUGAGAUCAGGUGUUCCAGACCAGCCUGGCCAACAUGGGAAACCUGUCUCUACUAAAAAUACAAAAAUUAGCCAGGUGUGGUGGCAUGCCCCUGUAAUCCCAGCUACUUAGGAGGCUGAGACAGAAGAAUCGCUUGAAUCCGGGAGGUGGAGUUUGCAGUGAGCUGAGAUUGCACCACUGCACUCCAGCCUGGGCAACAGACUGAGACUCCAUCUCAAAAAAAAAAAAAAAAAUCCCUUUUUAUCUAAAGGAUCUGUAGUGAAGUCCCCUCUUUCAUUUCUGAUAUUGGUAAUUUGUGGGGUUUUUUUGUUUU